This 74-nucleotide transfer RNA is filed under the name Rubrobacter xylanophilus. RNAcentral describes it as "tRNA-Trp". It matches the Rfam family "tRNA". From Rfam's summary of the family: Transfer RNA (tRNA) molecules are approximately 80 nucleotides in length. Their secondary structure includes four short double-helical elements and three loops (D, anti-codon, and T loops). Lineage: Bacteria; Bacillati; Actinomycetota; Rubrobacteria; Rubrobacterales; Rubrobacteraceae. The record is from RNAcentral.
AGGGCAGUAGCUCAGUUGGUAGAGCAGCGGUCUCCAAAACCGCAGGUCGGGGGUUCGAGUCCCUCCUGCCCUGC